ACGNGNNNCNNGGCUUGGGCUAAAGUUUGAUCAUGGCUCAGAACAAACGCUGGCGGCGUGCCUAAUACAUGCAAGUCGAACGGGGAAAGUCCUUCGGGGCGAGUACUAGUGGCGCACGGGUGAGUAACGCGUGGAUAAUCUGCCUUCAACUGGGGAAUAACUAACCGAAAGGUUAGCUAAUACCGCAUGAGACCACAGUAGCUGCGGCUACAGAGGUUAAAGUUUUUCGGUUGAAGAUGAGUCCGCGUCAGAUUAGCUUGUUGGUGGGGUAAUGGCCUACCAAGGCUCCGAUCUGUAGCUGGUCUGAGAGGAUGACCAGUCACACUGGGACUGAGACACGGCCCAGACUCCUACGGGAGGCAGCAGUAGGGAAUCUUGCGCAAUGGGGGAAACCCUGACGCAGCGACGCCGCGUGGGUGAUGAAGGUUUUCGGAUCGUAAAACCCUGUCGUAGGGGACUAAAAAAAUGAAGGUACCCUACAAGAAAGGACCGGCUAACUUCGUGCCAGCAGCCGCGGUAAUACGAGGGGUCCUAGCGUUGUUCGGAAUCAUUGGGCGUAAAGCGGGUGUAGGCGGAUUCGUAAGUCAGAAGUGAAAGCCCUGGGCUCAACCCAGGAAGUGCUUUUGAAACUACGGAUCUUGAGUAUGGUAGAGGCUAGUGGAAUUCCUGGUGUAGUGGUGAAAUACGUAGAUAUCAGGAGGAACAUCGGUGGCGAAGGCGGCUAGCUGGACCAAUACUGACGCUCAGACCCGAAAGCGUGGGGAGCAAACAGGAUUAGAUACCCUGGUAGUCCACGCCGUAAACGAUGGACACUUGGUGUUGGAGGUAUUGACCCCUUCAUGCCGGAGCUAACGCGUUAAGUGUCCCGCCUGGGAGUACGGCGCAAGGUUAAAACUCAAGAAUUGACGGGGGCCCGCACAAGCGGUGGAGCAUGUGGUUUA
This 941-nucleotide ribosomal RNA is filed under the name uncultured delta proteobacterium. RNAcentral describes it as "bacterial SSU rRNA". It matches the Rfam family "Bacterial small subunit ribosomal RNA", at positions 1 to 948 of the family's 1533-position model. Lineage: Bacteria; Deltaproteobacteria. The record is from RNAcentral.